GGUUCAGGAUAAACGCUGGCGGCGCACAUAAGACAUGCAAGUCGAACGGACGGAAGCUAUUCUUAACGAUUAGUGGAAGUUAGUGGCGGACUGGUGAGUAAUGUAUAAGUAACCUGCCUAUUAGAGGGGAACAACAGUUGGAAACAGCUGCUAAUACCGCAUAUGCCAUAGAAACCGCAUGAUUUCAGUGGGAAAGGAGUAAUCCGCUAAUAGAUGGACUUAUAUCUGAUUAGUUAGUUGGUGGGGUAACGGCCCACCAAGACUACGAUCAGUAGCCGAACUGAGAGGUUAAACGGCCACAUUGGGACUGAGAUACGGCCCAGACUCCUACGGGAGGCAGCAGUCGGGAAUAUUGCGCAAUGGAGGAAACUCUGACGCCAGUGACGCCGCGUGCAGGAAGAAGGUUUUCGGAUUGUAAACUGCUUUAGACAGGGAAGAAAAAGGACAGUACCUGUAGAAUAAGCUCCGGCUAACUACGUGCCAGCAGCUGC
Molecule: ribosomal RNA, 491 nt
Filed under: uncultured bacterium
Lineage: Bacteria
Description: bacterial SSU rRNA
Rfam family: Bacterial small subunit ribosomal RNA
Source: RNAcentral